This 71-nucleotide transfer RNA is filed under the name Lachnoclostridium sp. RNAcentral describes it as "tRNA-Gly". It matches the Rfam family "tRNA". From Rfam's summary of the family: Transfer RNA (tRNA) molecules are approximately 80 nucleotides in length. Their secondary structure includes four short double-helical elements and three loops (D, anti-codon, and T loops). Further hydrogen bonds mediate the characteristic L-shaped molecular structure. tRNAs have two regions of fundamental functional importance: the anti-codon, which is responsible for specific mRNA codon recognition, and the 3' end, to which the tRNAs corresponding amino acid is attached (by aminoacyl-tRNA synthetases). tRNAs cope with the degeneracy of the genetic code in two manners: having more than one tRNA (with a specific anti-codon) for a particular amino acid; and 'wobble' base-pairing, i.e. permitting non-standard base-pairing at the 3rd anti-codon position. RNAcentral also lists the same sequence under 2 other names. The record is from RNAcentral. Lineage: Bacteria; Bacillati; Bacillota; Clostridia; Lachnospirales; Lachnospiraceae.
GCAGGCGUAGUUCAUCGGUAGAACAUCAGCUUCCCAAGCUGAGGAGGCGGGUUCGAUUCCCGUCGCCUGCU